CCUACGGGCGGCUGCAGUGGGGAAUAUUGGACAAUGGGGGCAACCCUGAUCCAGCCAUGCCGCGUGUGUGAAGAAGGCCCUCGGGUUGUAAAGCACUUUCAGUGAGGAAGAACGCCUGGUGGUUAAUACCCAUCAGGAAAGACAUCACUCACAGAAGAAGCACCGGCUAACUCCGUGCCAGCAGCCGCGGUAAUACGGAGGGUGCGAGCGUUAAUCGGAAUUACUGGGCGUAAAGCGCGCGUAGGUGGCUUGAUAAGCCGGUUGUGAAAGCCCCGGGCUCAACCUGGGAACGGCAUCGGAAACUGUCAAGCUAGAGUGCAGGAGAGGAAGGUAGAAUUCCCGGUGUAGCGGUGAAAUGCGUAGAGAUCGGGAGGAAUACCAGUGGCGAAGGCGGCCUUCUGGACUGAAACUGACACUGAGGUGCGAAAGCGUGGGUAGCAAACAGGAUUAGAUACCCGAGUAGUC
Molecule: ribosomal RNA, 465 nt
Filed under: Vreelandella stevensii
Lineage: Bacteria; Pseudomonadati; Pseudomonadota; Gammaproteobacteria; Oceanospirillales; Halomonadaceae
Description: partial 16S ribosomal RNA
Rfam family: Bacterial small subunit ribosomal RNA
Source: RNAcentral